GGAUGAGAACAGCAAUCUCACUAUGACAACCACUACGACAGGAUUGAUUGGGCUGAUCUGGCUGGCUAGGCACAUAUCCCCUUUCCCCAUUCCCGGUGUUUCCCUGCCUUGCUCAAAGAGGACGACCUUCCCCGCUAGAGAUGAACCAUUGCUCGGUCAAGGGUAUACAGUAGCUGCGCUGUGCUUGAGAACCUCCAAAGAAGCUCAGGNN
RNAcentral lists this small nuclear RNA (211 nucleotides) under Patagioenas fasciata monilis. RNAcentral's name for it is "7SK RNA". It matches the Rfam family "7SK RNA", at positions 1 to 242 of the family's 331-position model. Rfam says of the family: 7SK was discovered as an abundant small nuclear RNA in the mid-70s but a possible function has only recently been suggested. Two independent studies have found that 7SK RNA binds the CDK9/cyclin T complex (known as elongation factor P-TEFb). The record is from Rfam by way of RNAcentral. Lineage: Eukaryota; Metazoa; Chordata; Aves; Columbiformes; Columbidae.